UGCAGCAGCAGCACGAGCGGGCGGUCGCGGCUGAAGUCGCGGUGCACGAAGAGGAGCGUGAGCUGCACAAGCGCGCAGGGCAGCAGGGAGAAAAGCAGCGUCAGCGCCUGCCACAUGCCAUCCCCGCCCGAGCGAGCUGCACUCAAGGUGGGCUGCCCUGGACCUGUGAUCUGACUGCAGAAUGGGCCCAACUCCUGUUGCUGACCUGGAGGGCGGUGCUUCUGUCCAGAGGGGAGUCCAGCCUUACUGAGCCUGGAGCUUUCAGCUAAGAACUGACAUGGAUGGAAGAGAUAAUGAGAAAACCUGCCCUCCCAGGCAAAAGGAGGUCACAUGAUUAAGCAGACACAGGAAAAAACAUAUCAGAAGGUACUAUUUAAAGAGGAGGAAGAAGACAAGAAGUUGCUGAAUCAGGGGUGGGGGUGGGGGUAGGUGGGUAGGGAUUAGAGGUCCCAAGAAACAAUAACACCCAUGAGUAGGAUGACUGGUUCUUAGCCACAUUAAAUGUGCAUCCACAACUCACACUGAGAUGUUGAGCAGGCAGCAAGCUUUCCCGCACCCAGCCCUUUGCUGGCCUUCUCAUUUGCUUUCCUUGCCAAGUUCAUGCCAAGAUAACAUGGCCUUGCUGAAUCUGAGGCAGGUCAUUUAGCUAUUAAUUUGGAAUAGUGUUGAAUAAAUAACCCAGCUCCCCAAAGGAAAGCCUUAUAAUGCAAUUGAGAGUAUAUUUCUAUCACUGUAUGUCAUGCAGUUCUGAGGCCUGAAUUAAAGUGCAGACCAAACACAACUAAAAGUA
Molecule: long non-coding RNA, 790 nt
Organism: Manis javanica (Malayan pangolin)
Lineage: Eukaryota; Metazoa; Chordata; Mammalia; Pholidota; Manidae
Source: RefSeq, a predicted model, not a curated record